AUGGCUAAAUAUAGAGCAGGUAGGCAUUGGUACAAGUCCCGAUCAGGUUCCCUAUUGCACGCACAUGAACAAUCUCCAGCACCUACUCCGGCAGCGCCGCCUCGCCGCCCGCCGUGGACACGCCGCACACUCAUUGCCGCAUCCACCGGGUGCGCCACCACAACCACCCGCCCUCAGCUGAUGCGCACAGCCGGACCAACUGGGUCAUCAUGA
RNAcentral lists this ribosomal RNA (213 nucleotides) under Triticum aestivum (bread wheat). RNAcentral's name for it is "partial small subunit ribosomal RNA". Lineage: Eukaryota; Viridiplantae; Streptophyta; Magnoliopsida; Poales; Poaceae. The record is from RNAcentral.